AGCAUUACUAGUAUUAGAGGCACUGCCYGCCCAGUGACACACGUUUAACGGCCGCGGUACCCUGACCGUGCAAAGGUAGCAUAAUCACUUGUUCUUUAAAUAGGGACUCGUAUGAAUGGCACCACGAGGGUUUAACUGUCUCUUACUUUCAACCAGUGAAAUUGACCUGUCCGUGAAGAGACGGACAUGAAACAAUAAGACGAGAAGACCCUNNGGAGCUUUAAUUUAUUAGUACAACUAAAAACCAUACAAACCAACAGGUCCUAAAUCCCCACAUCUGUGCUAAAAAUUUUGGUUGGGGCGACCUCGGAGCACAACCAAACCUCCGAAUAAUCCACGCUAAGACUACACAAGUCAAAGCAAACUAACACUUACAAUUGACCCAAUAGUUUGAUCAACGGAACAAGUUACCCCAGGGAUAACAGCGCAAUUCUAUUCUAGAGUCCAUAUCAACAAUAGAGUUUACGACCUCGAUGUUGGAUCAGGAUAUCCUAAUGGUGCAGCAGCUAUCAAGGGUUCGUUUGUUCAACG
RNAcentral lists this ribosomal RNA (531 nucleotides) under Cercopithecus cephus ngottoensis. Its description in RNAcentral is "partial 16S ribosomal RNA". It matches the Rfam family "Bacterial large subunit ribosomal RNA", at positions 1832 to 2586 of the family's 2925-position model. Lineage: Eukaryota; Metazoa; Chordata; Mammalia; Primates; Cercopithecidae. The record is from RNAcentral.